This 31-nucleotide ribosomal RNA is filed under the name Fusarium sporotrichioides. RNAcentral's name for it is "partial 16S ribosomal RNA". The record is from RNAcentral. Lineage: Eukaryota; Fungi; Ascomycota; Sordariomycetes; Hypocreales; Nectriaceae. RNAcentral also lists the same sequence under 25 other names.
UCCGUUGGUGAACCAGCGGAGGGAUCAUUAC